This 663-nucleotide long non-coding RNA is filed under the name Phoenix dactylifera (date palm). RNAcentral describes it as "long non-coding RNA (PDAC_LNC019714)". Lineage: Eukaryota; Viridiplantae; Streptophyta; Magnoliopsida; Arecales; Arecaceae. The record is from RNAcentral.
UCCAGGUUAUUCUUGUCCAUGGUCUUGUUUGAUGCCCAGUACCUGUGUGCCCCCAAGAGCCUUCAGCAUGUAACCAAGAGCUAUUCGUGUCGUGGGAUAUCUCCAAGGGAGCGGAGGCUGGAAAGUUACCAGGGUAGCACAGCGGUUGCAUUUCUGUUCCGUGGGAAUUGAUUAUCUGAGUGCAUACUCAGAUGUUCCUUGCCACAUCGGUUAUUCACUCAUCACAUGUUAUUUUUAUGUUUAAAACUACAUAACUUAUUUAUUAACUAUGCUUUGUCCUAGCUUUUUGCUCUGUCAAUUCUGAAGCAUGUUGUCUUAUUCGGUCAAGAAAAGGUGAUCGGGUGUAAGAAGGACACGUUCUUUGUAAUUUUCACAGGUAAUUGAUUUCAUUCGAUUUUUUUGUCUUGGACACAAGCGAAGUUUUUCUCUAACUAGCUGCAAUGCAUGCGAAAAUGUAUGUGGUUGCUAAAUUUGCAAUUCCUGGCCUAUACUAUCAAGUAUGCAAGACUUCUAAUUAGCUGACAAGAACUUGGAUCACUUACCCGGAUCUCCUACAUCCCUCUUUUAUUUGUAAGUUUUGAUACUUGAGAAAAUCUGCUGUUUUGCAUGCAACAGUCCAAAUCAUGAAGAAUAUAGUAAUUGGGUGGGCAAAGAAGAACGGAG